GGCCCAGACUCCUACGGGAGGCAGCAGUGGGGAAUAUUGGACAAUGGGGGGAACCCUGAUCCAGCGACGCCGCGUGAGUGAAGAAGUAUUUCGGUAUGUAAAGCUCUAUCAGCAGGGAAGAAAGAAAUGACGGUACCUGACUAAGAAGCCCCGGCUAACUACGUGCCAGCAGCCGCGGUAAUACGUAGGGGGCAAGCGUUAUCCGGAUUUACUGGGUGUAAAGGGAGCGUAGACGGCGAUGCAAGUCUGAAGUGAAAGGCGGGGGCCCAACCCCCGGACUGCUUUGGAAACUGUAUAGCUGGAGUGCAGGAGAGGUAAGUGGAAUUCCUAGUGUAGCGGUGAAAUGCGUAGAUAUUCGGAGGAACACCGGUGGCGAAGGCGGCCAACUGGGCUUUAACUGACGCUGAGGCUCGAAAGUGUGGGGAGCAAACAGGAUUAGAUACCCGGGUA
RNAcentral lists this ribosomal RNA (450 nucleotides) under uncultured bacterium. Its description in RNAcentral is "bacterial SSU rRNA". It matches the Rfam family "Bacterial small subunit ribosomal RNA", at positions 328 to 792 of the family's 1533-position model. The record is from RNAcentral.